CUGGGUUUGACAUGCACGGAAAUCCAUCAGAGAUGGUGGGUCCUUCGGGGUCGUGCACAGGUGGUGCAUGGCUGUCGUCAGCUCGUGUCGUGAGAUGUUGGGUUAAGUCCCGCAACGAGCGCAACCCUCGUCCCAUGUUGCCAGCAUUUAGUUGGGGACUCAUGGGAGACUGCCGGGGUCAACUCGGAGGAAGGUGGGGAUGACGUCAAGUCAUCAUGCCUCUUAUGUCCAGGGCUUCACGCAUGCUACAAUGGCCGGUACAAACCGUUGCGAGCCCGUGAGGGGGAGCGAAUCGGAAAAAGCCGGUCUCAGUUCGGAUCGGGGUCUGCAACUCGACCCCGUGAAGUCGGAGUCGCUAGUAAUCGCAGAUCAGCAAUGCUGCGGUGAAUA
RNAcentral lists this ribosomal RNA (390 nucleotides) under uncultured bacterium. RNAcentral describes it as "bacterial SSU rRNA". It matches the Rfam family "Bacterial small subunit ribosomal RNA", at positions 975 to 1368 of the family's 1533-position model. The record is from RNAcentral.